This 301-nucleotide ribosomal RNA is filed under the name uncultured bacterium. RNAcentral describes it as "partial 16S ribosomal RNA". It matches the Rfam family "Bacterial small subunit ribosomal RNA", at positions 509 to 808 of the family's 1533-position model. The record is from RNAcentral.
CAGUAGCCGCGGGAAAACCGAGGGUGCAAGCGUUAAUCGGAAUUACUGGGCGUAAAGCGCGCGUAGGUGGUUUGUUAAGUUGGAUGUGAAAGCCCCGGGCUCAACCUGGGAACUGCAUCCAAAACUGGCAAGCUAGAGUACGGUAGAGGGUGGUGGAAUUUCCUGUGUAGCGGUGAAAUGCGUAGAUAUAGGAAGGAACACCAGUGGCGAAGGCGACCACCUGGACUGAUACUGACACUGAGGUGCGAAAGCGUGGGGAGCAAACAGGAUUAGAUACCCGCGUAGUCCCUGUCUCUUUACA